This 1172-nucleotide ribosomal RNA is filed under the name Salmonella enterica. Its description in RNAcentral is "partial 23S ribosomal RNA". It matches the Rfam family "Bacterial large subunit ribosomal RNA", at positions 1762 to 2925 of the family's 2925-position model. Lineage: Bacteria; Pseudomonadati; Pseudomonadota; Gammaproteobacteria; Enterobacterales; Enterobacteriaceae. The record is from RNAcentral. RNAcentral also lists the same sequence under 1 other name.
CGGAGCUGAAGUCAGUCGAAGAUACCAGCUGGCUGCAACUGUUUAUUAAAAACACAGCACUGUGCAAACACGAAAGUGGACGUAUACGGUGUGACGCCUGCCCGGUGCCGGAAGGUUAAUUGAUGGGGUCAGCGCAAGCGAAGCUCCUGAUCGAAGCCCCGGUAAACGGCGGCCGUAACUAUAACGGUCCUAAGGUAGCGAAAUUCCUUGUCGGGUAAGUUCCGACCUGCACGAAUGGCGUAAUGAUGGCCAGGCUGUCUCCACCCGAGACUCAGUGAAAUUGAACUCGCUGUGAAGAUGCAGUGUACCCGCGGCAAGACGGAAAGACCCCGUGAACCUUUACUAUAGCUUGACACUGAACAUUGAGCCUUGAUGUGUAGGAUAGGUGGGAGGCUUUGAAGCGUGGACGCCAGUCUGCGUGGAGCCGACCUUGAAAUACCACCCUUUAAUGUUUGAUGUUCUAACGUGGACCCGUGAUCCGGGUUGCGGACAGUGUCUGGUGGGUAGUUUGACUGGGGCGGUCUCCUCCUAAAGAGUAACGGAGGAGCACGAAGGUUGGCUAAUCCUGGUCGGACAUCAGGAGGUUAGUGCAAUGGCAUAAGCCAGCUUGACUGCGAGCGUGACGGCGCGAGCAGGUGCGAAAGCAGGUCAUAGUGAUCCGGUGGUUCUGAAUGGAAGGGCCAUCGCUCAACGGAUAAAAGGUACUCCGGGGAUAACAGGCUGAUACCGCCCAAGAGUUCAUAUCGACGGCGGUGUUUGGCACCUCGAUGUCGGCUCAUCACAUCCUGGGGCUGAAGUAGGUCCCAAGGGUAUGGCUGUUCGCCAUUUAAAGUGGUACGCGAGCUGGGUUUAGAACGUCGUGAGACAGUUCGGUCCCUAUCUGCCGUGGGCGCUGGAGAACUGAGGGGGGCUGCUCCUAGUACGAGAGGACCGGAGUGGACGCAUCACUGGUGUUCGGGUUGUCAUGCCAAUGGCACUGCCCGGUAGCUAAAUGCGGAAGAGAUAAGUGCUGAAAGCAUCUAAGCACGAAACUUGCCCCGAGAUGAGUUCUCCCUGAGACUUUAGGUCUCCUGAAGGAACGUUGAAGACGACGACGUUGAUAGGCCGGGUGUGUAAGCGCAGCGAUGCGUUGAGCUAACCGGUACUAAUGAACCGUGAGGCUUAACCUUACA